RNAcentral lists this ribosomal RNA (386 nucleotides) under uncultured prokaryote. Its description in RNAcentral is "bacterial SSU rRNA". It matches the Rfam family "Archaeal small subunit ribosomal RNA", at positions 339 to 725 of the family's 1478-position model. The record is from RNAcentral.
GCGAGAAAACUUUACAAGGCUGGCAACAGCGAUAAGGGAACCUCGAGUGCCAGGUUACAAAUCUGGCUGUCGAGAUGCCUAAAAAGCAUUUCAUAGCAAGGGCCGGGCAAGACCGGUGCCAGCCGCCGCGGUAACACCGGCGGCUCGAGUGGUAACCGUUAUUAUUGGGUCUAAAGGGUCUGUAGCCGGCCGGAUAAGUCUCUUGAGAAAUCUGGCAGCUUAACUGUCAGGCUUUCAGGAGAUACUGUCUGGCUCGAGGGCGGGAGAGGUGAGAGGUACUUCAGGGGUAGGGGUGAAAUCUUGUAAUCCUUGAAGGACCACCAGUGGCGAAGGCGCCUCACCAGAACGGACCUGACGGCAAGGGACGAAAGCUAGGGGUACGAACC